Molecule: ribosomal RNA, 177 nt
Filed under: Aquaphilus dolomiae
Lineage: Bacteria; Pseudomonadati; Pseudomonadota; Betaproteobacteria; Neisseriales; Neisseriaceae
Description: partial 16S ribosomal RNA
Rfam family: Bacterial small subunit ribosomal RNA
Source: RNAcentral
GAUUAGCUAGUUGGUGGGGUAAAGGCUCACCAAGGCGACGAUCAGUAGUGGGUCUGAGAGGAUGAUCCGCCACACUGGGACUGAGACACGGCCCAGACUCCUACGGGAGGCAGCAGUGGGGAAUUUUGGACAAUGGGGGAAAGCCUGAUCCAGCCAUGCCGCGUGUGUGAAGAAGGC